UUGAUGUUAAUCACUUUAUUGUUCCUAUAGAAUUAGAUUGUGGCAUUGUGCUGUACAUCUAGAAUUUAGAUAUUAUAUGCACAUAUACAUAACUAUAUAUUCACUUGCUACUCCAGUUGGUAAGAUAUUCUUUAUAAGUAGAAAGCAAAGUAAUAAAAACCAUGUGAGAUCUCCUAAGAUGUUAACAUUUGAAAGGUUAAAGUCAGUCGAAUAUUUUCCUUCCUGUACCUUAAUCCCUUUUGGAACCACCGUAUUCUUAUGCUGCUGACAUGAUAUAGCUGCGCCAGUCCCCUUUCUUGUAUUAUCAAGUAAGUUUUUCCGCCAGAAAUGAUGAAGAAAUACAAAAGCAACAGGCGAGUCGGCAAUAUGAGGAUCAGGAAAGAAUGUAAAAGGAUUAUUCU
This 401-nucleotide long non-coding RNA is filed under the name Olea europaea (common olive). RNAcentral describes it as "long non-coding RNA (OEUR_LNC013268)". Lineage: Eukaryota; Viridiplantae; Streptophyta; Magnoliopsida; Lamiales; Oleaceae. The record is from RNAcentral.